RNAcentral lists this ribosomal RNA (1058 nucleotides) under uncultured Rhizaria. RNAcentral describes it as "bacterial SSU rRNA". It matches the Rfam family "Eukaryotic small subunit ribosomal RNA", at positions 577 to 1653 of the family's 1831-position model. The record is from RNAcentral.
CGGUAAUUCCAGCUCCAAUAGCGUAUACUAACGUUGUUGCAGUUAAAAAGCUCGUAGUUGGAUUUCUGUGUUGGUGAGGCGGCCGGCCACUCGUGGUUGUAGCUAGUUAUCACCGGCGCAUCUUGUCACAAGCCACGCUGGCCUUAACUGGUUGGCGCUGGGGACUGACUCGUUUACUUUGAGAAAAUUAGAGUGUUCAAAGCAGGCUAUCGCCUUGAAUAUGUUAGCAUGGAAUAAUGAUAUAGGACUUUGGUUCUAUUUUGUUGGUUGUUCGAGAACCGAAGUAAUGAUUGAUAGGGACAGUUGGGGGCAUCAGUAUUCUGAAGCGAGAGGUGAAAUUCUUGGACCUUCGGAAGACUAACAACUGCGAAAGCAUUUGCCUAGGAUGUUCUCUUUAAUCAAGAACGAAAGUUGGGGGAUCGAAGACGAUCAGAUACCGUCGUAGUCUCAACUAUAAACUAUGCCAGCUAGGGAUUGGUGGACGUUUAUUUACGACUCCAUCAGCACCUUAUGAGAAAUCAAAGCAUUUGGGUUCCGGGGGGAGUAUGGUCGCAAGGCUGAAACUUAAAGGAAUUGACGGGAGGGCACCACCAGGAGUGGAGCCUGUGGCUUAAUUUGACUCAACACGGGAAAACUUACCAGGUCCGGACAUAGUAAGGAUUGACAGAUUGAUAGCUCUUUCUUGAUUCUAUGGGUGGUGGUGCAUGUCCGUUCUUAGUUGGUGGAGUGAUUUGUUAGGUUAAUUCCGUUAACGAACGAGACCCCAGCAUAUUAAAUAGUUUACUCGAUGUCUCAUCGGUGCCAACAUAUUAGAGGGUCUAUUCUGUGUAUAACGAAUGGAAGUUCGGGGCCAUAUCAGGUCUGUGAUGACAUUAGAUGGUCUGGGCCGCGCACGGGCUACGCUGUGAGGCUCAACAAGCUUCAUGCUCUGAUACGAUAGGACUGGGCAAUCUUUUGAACUCCUCACGUGAUAGGGAUAGACUAUUGCAAAGUUUAGUCUUGCAGGCGAGGAAUAUGUAUAGUCAAGUCAAGUCAUCACCUUGCAUUGAUUACGUCCC